Molecule: ribosomal RNA, 488 nt
Filed under: uncultured Anoxybacillus sp.
Lineage: Bacteria; Bacillati; Bacillota; Bacilli; Caryophanales; Anoxybacillaceae
Description: bacterial SSU rRNA
Rfam family: Bacterial small subunit ribosomal RNA
Source: RNAcentral
UACGAAAGGAAGUUACGACGGGGCCCGGCACAAGCGGUGGAGCAUGUGGUUUAAUUCGAAGCAACGCGAAGAACCUUACCAGGUCUUGACAUCCCUGACAACCCGAGAGAUCGGGCGUUCCCCUUCGGGGGACAGGGUGACAGGUGGUGCAUGGUUGUCGUCAGCUCGUGUCGUGAGAUGUUGGGUUAAGUCCCGCAACGAGCGCAACCCUCGACCUUAGUUGCCAGCGAGUCAAGUCGGGCACUCUAAGGUGACUGCCGGCUAAAAGUCGGAGGAAGGUGGGGAUGACGUCAAAUCAUCAUGCCCCUUAUGACCUGGGCUACACACGUGCUACAAUGGGCGGUACAAAGGGUCGCGAACCCGCGAGGGGGAGCCAAUCCCAAAAAGCCGCUCUCAGUUCGGAUUGCAGGCUGCAACUCGCCUGCAUGAAGCCGGAAUCGCUAGUAAUCGCGGAUCAGCAUGCCGCGGUGAAUACGUUCUCGGGCCUU